This 82-nucleotide transfer RNA is filed under the name Bracteacoccus minor. Its description in RNAcentral is "tRNA-Ser". It matches the Rfam family "tRNA". From Rfam's summary of the family: Transfer RNA (tRNA) molecules are approximately 80 nucleotides in length. Their secondary structure includes four short double-helical elements and three loops (D, anti-codon, and T loops). The record is from RNAcentral. Lineage: Eukaryota; Viridiplantae; Chlorophyta; Chlorophyceae; Sphaeropleales; Bracteacoccaceae.
GGAAAGAUGGCUGAGUGGUUAAAGGCGCCGGUUUGGAAGACCGGUUCCAUUUUGGAACAUGGGUUCGAAUCCCAUUCUUUCC